GAUGAACGCUGGCGGCGUGCCUAACACAUGCAAGUCGAGCGAAGCACUUACUUUAGAUUUCUUCGGAAUGACGAAGUUUGUGACUGAGCGGCGGACGGGUGAGUAACGCGUGGGCAACCUGCCCUGUACAGGGGGAUAACAGUUAGAAAUGACUGCUAAUACCGCAUAAGCCCACAGCUUCGCAUGAAGCAGUGGGAAAAACUCCGGUGGUACAGGAUGGGCCCGCGUCUGAUUAGCUAGUUGGUAAGGUAACGGCUUACCAAGGCGACGAUCAGUAGCCGACCUGAGAGGGUGACCGGCCACAUUGGGACUGAGACACGGCCCAAACUCCUACGGGAGGCAGCAGUGGGGAAUAUUGCACAAUGGGGGAAACCCUGAUGCAGCGACGCCGCGUGAGCGAUGAAGUAUUUCGGUAUGUAAAGCUCUAUCAGCAGGGAAGAAAGUGAUGGUACCUGACUAAGAAGCCCCGGCUAACUACGUG
Molecule: ribosomal RNA, 481 nt
Filed under: uncultured bacterium
Lineage: Bacteria
Description: partial 16S ribosomal RNA
Rfam family: Bacterial small subunit ribosomal RNA
Source: RNAcentral